UGCCUCGGAUAACGAGGAGGAAGGUGGGGAUGACGUCAAGUCCUCAUGGCCUUUAUGUCCAGGGCUACACACGUGCUACAAUGGUCGGUACAAACCGUCGCAAACCCGCGAGGGGGAGCUAAUCGGAAAAAGCCGGCCUCAGUUCGGAUUGGAGUCUGCAACUCGACUCCAUGAAGCUGGAAUCGCUAGUAAUCGCGGAUCAGCACGCCGCGGUGAAUACGUUCCCGGGCCUUGUACACACCGCCCGUCACAUCACGAAAGUGGGUUGUACUAGAAGUCGUCGUGCCAACCGCAAGGAGGCAGACGCCCAAGGUAUAAUUCAU
RNAcentral lists this ribosomal RNA (323 nucleotides) under uncultured soil bacterium. RNAcentral describes it as "bacterial SSU rRNA". It matches the Rfam family "Bacterial small subunit ribosomal RNA", at positions 1150 to 1472 of the family's 1533-position model. The record is from RNAcentral.